Molecule: ribosomal RNA, 319 nt
Filed under: uncultured eukaryote
Lineage: Eukaryota
Description: partial 18S ribosomal RNA
Rfam family: Eukaryotic small subunit ribosomal RNA
Source: RNAcentral
CCCUUAGAUGUUCUGGGCAGCACGCGCGCUACAAUGGUCUUCGCAAACGGAUGCAUUCUCGAAGGAGAAUGCCAAUAUUGGAAUCUAUGCCUUGGUCGGGACAGUUGCUUGCAAUUUUUCGACUCGAACCAGGAAUUCCUUGUAAUCGUGAUUCAUCACAUCACGCUGAAUACGUCCCUGCCCUUUGUACACACCGCCCGUCGCUCCUACCGAUCGAAGAGUUAGGUGAAUUGUUUUGAUCGAUAAGAUUUGACUAUGGUCAACUCUCGUUGUGAAAUUCUGUGAAUCUGACUGUUUAGAGGAAGGAAAAGUCGUAACA